This 468-nucleotide ribosomal RNA is filed under the name uncultured bacterium. RNAcentral's name for it is "partial 16S ribosomal RNA". It matches the Rfam family "Bacterial small subunit ribosomal RNA", at positions 28 to 507 of the family's 1533-position model. The record is from RNAcentral.
GAUGAACGCUGGCGGCGUGCUUAACACAUGCAAGUCGAACGGAAAGGCCCUGCUCUUGUGGGGUGUACGUGUGGCGAACGGGUGAGUAACACGUGAGUAACCUGUACCUGACAUACGGAUAACUUCAGGAAACUGGGGCUAAUACCGGAUAGGAUCUCCUGCUGCAUGGGGGGCGUUGGAAAGUUUCGGUGAUUGGGUAUGUACUCGCUGGCUCUCAGCUUGUUGGUCGGGUAGUGGCUUACCAAGGCUUUGCCGGGUAGCCCAACUGGGAGGGUUACCAGCCACAUUAGGACUGCGAUACGGCCCAGAAUCCUACGGGAUGCAACGGUGGAGAAUAUUGCACCAUGAGCCGAAGCCAGAUGCAGCAACUCCGCGUGCGGGAUAACGGCCUUCGGGUUAUAAACCGCUUUCGCCUGUGACGAAGCGUGAGUGACGGUAAUGGGUAAAGAAGCACCGGCUAACUACGUG